Molecule: ribosomal RNA, 279 nt
Filed under: Triticum aestivum (bread wheat)
Lineage: Eukaryota; Viridiplantae; Streptophyta; Magnoliopsida; Poales; Poaceae
Description: partial small subunit ribosomal RNA
Source: RNAcentral
AUGGAAGUGCUGGAGGAGCAGAUCCGAUGGGCUUUGGUGGUGCAGCGCAGCGCGGAAACAACACAGGCCAUCGUGGACCUGUGUGGACUGAUGAGCGGGGAGUCUGCCGGUUAUAUUGCUUACUACGCUGACAACUUCAAUGGUACACGUCUGGAGCACGAUGUGCCACAGGUUGGUCUGCCGGCCAGGAGGAGGAGGAUGUUGUACGAGACUAUGGUGGCCAAAGGAAAUUCUGCUCCUCGUCAAGGAAUCAUGGAGCAAGUGACAAUGGAAGAGUAG